RNAcentral lists this ribosomal RNA (697 nucleotides) under uncultured bacterium. RNAcentral describes it as "bacterial SSU rRNA". It matches the Rfam family "Bacterial small subunit ribosomal RNA", at positions 48 to 762 of the family's 1533-position model. The record is from RNAcentral.
UUAACACAUGCAAGUCGAGCGGUAAGGCCCUUCGGGGUACACGAGCGGCGAACGGGUGAGUGACACGUGGGUGAUCUGCCCUGCACUUCGGGAUAAGCCUGGGAAACUGGGUCUAAUACCGGAUAUGACCAAAGGCUGCAUGGUUUUUGGUGGAAAGGUUUACUGGUGCAGGAUGGGCCCGCGGCCUAUCAGCUUGUUGGUGGGGUAAUGGCCUACCAAGGCGACGACGGGUAGCCGACCUGAGAGGGUGACCGGCCACACUGGGACUGAGACACGGCCCAGACUCCUACGGGAGGCAGCAGUGGGGAAUAUUGCACAACGGGCGAAAGCCUGAUGCAGCGACGCCGCGUGAGGGAUGACGGCCUUCGGGUUGUAAACCUCUUUCAGCAGGGACGAAGCGAAAGUGACGGUACCUGCAGAAGAAGCACCGGCCAACUACGUGCCAGCAGCCGCGGUAAUACGUAGGGUGCAAGCGUUGUCCGGAAUUACUGGGCGUAAAGAGCUCGUAGGCGGUUUGUCGCGUCGUCUGUGAAAACUCGAGGCUCAACCUCGAGCUUGCAGGCGAUACGGGCAGACUUGAGUACUGCAGGGGAGACUGGAAUUCCUGGUGUAGCGGUGAAAUGCGCAGAUAUCAGGAGGAACACCGGUGGCGAAGGCGGGUCUCUGGGCAGUAACUGACGCUGAGGAGCGAAAGCGU